Long non-coding RNA from Gadus chalcogrammus (walleye pollock), 4426 nucleotides. RefSeq lists it as uncharacterized. The record is from RefSeq and is a predicted model, not a curated record. The transcript is spliced from 3 exons. Lineage: Eukaryota; Metazoa; Chordata; Actinopteri; Gadiformes; Gadidae.
UGCGCGUAACCGCGCAUUUGCCAUUACCUCAGAGAUCAGCAAGAUGGCGACUUUGAGUACUGCUUCCACUGUUUCCAUGUGAGUUCAGCUAGCCCCAAAUUCAGUUAAGUCUUUGCUUAUGAAUCCCUUCGAAAGAAGAACAUUUGCAGAAAAAUUGCAAGUAAAAGAACUCGGAGCAGAAAAGCCAGAAGUGAACAUAACCCAACAAGCAAGAGAAAAGGAUAGAGCCUACAAGAGAAGUUUUUCCCGAGUUUGGUUCAGGCUUGGCAAACUAGCUGUGGGUAUGCCAUUGCAAUUUUUUGCUUUCCUUGUAUACUUUUUAAAACAAGUGCGUGUGAUAGUUCGUGGACACAGACCUGACGUAGGAGGAAUGACACAUUCUGUCAGAACGGAUAAAGAAAAACAAGCGAGCAAGAGUUCAUAUAAACAACUGUGUGAAGCUAGCCACGCUAGAGGCCUACCUACAGGUCUAGCCAAUCCAAAGUGACCCGAGCUCCUAACAUCGCCACUCUACCACCACUUUACAGAGAGGCUGGGCCUGCAGUCACCACACACUGAGCAGACGGCGCUGCCAUAGUAAAAACAAAUAUAUAUAUCAUUUUUUAUAUAUUCAUUUUUUUUUGUAACAUGCUGAAAACAGUGUGUGGCCGGCGUGCCCCCGUGUGCCCCGCCCACUACAGCCCUGGUAACGACUGAUCAUUCUCAAUUAUUAGAUACAUUUUUAAUGAAGUGCAAUAAAUGUUCGCUCCAGCCACAUGCACCGUGAUUCCAUCCCAGUGUCUGUAUUUUCUAAUUUCUACAGGACGCCCUCUGUAAAAUAUCUACGGUGGCCUGCGUGGACACACUGGAGGGAGACAGUGAAGGACACGUCCGCUUCAAGACCCCCGAGGAAGCCCAGGCCGUCGUCAACGACCGCUCGGCCGUCGCCAAGGAACACGGCUGGACGCUGGAUCUGCUCUCCGGUGAUCAUGAGUAAAGGUAUUGGCAGAAGAUUUUGGUGGACCGCCAAGUGAAGUUGAAAGAAAGGAGGAACAGAAAAGGUGGGAGAAAAAUACAAAUAUGAACUCCAUGUCUGGUUGGAAAUGCAUGCAGGUGAUAUCUCCUUUAAAACUCUAUUGUCGUUAUGUGUGUGUGUGUGUUAUACGGUGGGCAAUGGGAUUGUACGGUGGGCAAAUGGGAUUCAGCCAAUAUGGCGGCUUGGAAUGUGCGUUUUCUUAAACGGGUGCAUCCAGCAAAAGUCUAGGUGGACACGCCCACUUGUGAUGUCACAUAAUAAUGGGUUGUCUGCCACACACACACACACACACACACACCUACCUAAGCAGUACUCGGUGUAGUAGUACUCAAGAGUAGCAGUACUCAGCGUAGAAGUACUCCGUGUAGAAUUAUGUGUUUAUUCAUUGAAGAGACCAAGCUUCACUGAGUCCACUGAGCUAGAUGUAUCUAGAUCUAUAGAGCUGUAUAGUCCAGUAAGCUAGAUGUAUCUAGAUCUAUAGAGCUGUAAAGUCCAGUAAGAUAGAUGUAUCUAGAUCUACAGAUCUGUAUAGUCCACUGAGCUAGACGAAUCUAGAUCUACAGAUCUGUAUAGUCCACUGAGCUAGAUGUAUCUAGAUCUACAGAUCUGUAUAGUCCACUGAGCUAGAUGUAUCUAGAUCUACAGAUCUGUAUAGUCCAGUGAGCUAGAUGUUUCUAGAUAUAUAGAGCUGUAUAGUCCAGUGAGCUAGAUGUUUCUAGAUAUAUAGAGCUGUAUAGUCCAGUAAGCUAGAUGUUUCUAGAUCUACAGAGUUGAAUAGUCCAGUGAGCUAGAUGUACAGUAUCUAGAUCUACAGAGUUGUAUAGUCCAGUGAGCUAGAUGUAUCUAGAUCUACAGAUCUGUAUAGUCCAGUGAGCUAGAUGUAUCUAGAUCUAUAGAGCUGUAUAGUCCAGUGAGCUAAAUGUAUCUAGAUCUACAGAGCUGUAUUGUCCACUGAGCUAGAUGUAUCUAGUUCUACAGAUCUGUAUAGUCCACUGAGCUAGAUGUAUCUAGAUCUACAGAUCUGUAUAGUCCAGUGAGCUAGAUGUUUCUAGAUAUAUAGAGCUGUAUAGUCCAGUAAGCUAGAUGUUUCUAGAUUAGGGCUGGGAAUCGAUCCGAAUUUCCUGGAUCGAUCCGAUUCCGAUUCAUAAGGUCACGAUCCGAUUCGAUCCACGAUUCGAUCCGAUUCGAUUCGAUAUCGAUCUAUUUACAGACAUAAUGCAAAUAAAUACUGUCCCAUAGACAAAACAGCUCCAUGUGUUUGUGAUUGUAUCUGUGUACGUGUAAGAGGGACACAGAGAGAGAAGAGUCAAGAAUCAAGUAUUUAUUUUAGACAAAAAUCCAAGUAUUAUUUGAAAUUUAUUUAUUUUUAUUUUUUUAUUUUUUUUAUUAAUUAAAGAUCGAUCCAGUCAUUUUUGGAUCGAUAUCGUGCUUUUUGAGCAUGAAUCGAUAUCGGAUCGCGGAUCGAUUUUUUGAACACAGCCCUAUUCUAGAUCUACAGAGUUGAAUAGUCCAGUGAGCUAGAUGUACAGUAUCUAGAUCUACAGAGUUGUAUAGUCCAGUGAGCUAGAUGUAUCUAGAUCUGUAGAGCUGUAUAGUCCAGUGAGCUAGAUGUAUCUAGAUCUACAGAGCUGUAUAGUCCAGUGAGCUAGAUGUAUCUAGAUCUACAGAUCUGUAUAGUCCAGUGAGCUAGAUGUAUCUAGAUCUAUAGAGCUGUAUAGUCCAGUGAGCUAGAUGUAUCUAGAUCUAUAGAGCUGUAUAGUCCAGUGAGCUAGAUGUAUCUAGAUCUACAGAGCUGUAUUGUCCAGUGAGCUAGAUGUAUCUAGAUCUACAGAGCUGUAUAGUCCAGUGAGCUAAAUGUAUCUAGAUCUACAGAGCUGUAUAGUCCAGUGAGCUAGAUGUAUCUAGAUCUAUAGAGCUGUAUAGUCCAGUGAGCUAGAUGUAUCUAGAUCUACAGAGCUGUAUAGUCCAGUGAGCUAGAUGUAUCUAGAUCUAUAGAGCUGUAUAGUCCAGUGAGCUAGAUGUAUCUAGAUCUACAGAGUUGUAUAGUCCAGUGAGCUAGAUGUAUCUAGAUCUAUAGAACUGUAUAGUCCAGUGAGCUAGAUGUAUCUAGAUCUACAGAGCUGUAUUGUCCGGUGAGCUAGAUGUAUCUAGAUCUACAGAUCUGUAUAGUCCAGUGAGCUAGAUGUAUCUAGAUCUACAGAGCUGUAUAGUCCAGUGAGCUAGAUGUAUCUAGAUCUACAGAGCUGUAUAGUCCAGUGAGCUAGAUGUAUCUAGAUCUAUAGAGUUGUAUAGUCCAGUGAGCUAGAUGUAUCUAGAUCUACAGAGCUGUAUAGUCAAGUGAGCUACACAAGUCACCAAGGUCUUGGUGUUGGUAGUGCCGUUAAUCAUAAGAGCAGUAAAAACAAAUUAUUCUCACCAACUGGUUUGUGACGCUUGUCUGAAUCUAAGGAUCAAGAGAAAUGAAUUACACACACACACACACACACGGCCUGAUUGGGUGCCAUGCAGGAAAAAACAUUGAUUCCCAUCGCUCGUCUUUUUCUCUGGGUGAUAAGAUUCAGUUUUAUUCCUUUCCUGAGAUUUAAGAAUACUUUAAAAAUAGCUAGAGGGAUACAUCUUCAUACAGCACUCCCAAUAAGGAGGUAACCCAUUUGAACACACAUUAGAGAACACCCCCAAGCAUAAGCACGAAUUCGACUUUGUUUAUCUUAUUAGUUGACCCCUGCCUUUAAACUUAUUUCUCUAAUUCAGCCAUUCAGUAAGUCAGUUAAAUUAUUCAAUCAGAUUCAUUCAGUGAGUUGGGCUUUUUAAUUUCCUGAUGGGUUGUUAUUUACCGCAGACGUCUUACAACUGAAACAACAUGAGGUCAUUGUUAGGGCUGUGUUCAAAAAAUCGAUCCGCGAUCCGAUAUCGAUUCAUGCUCAAAAAGCACGAUAUCGAUCCAAAAAUGUCUGGAUCGAUCUUUAAUUAAUAAAAAAAAAUAAAAUUUUUUUUUUUUUUUAAAUUUCAAAUAAUACUUGGAUUUUUGUCUAAAAUAAAUACUUGAUUCUUGACUCUUCUCUCUCUGUGUCCCUCUUACACGUACACAGAUACAAUCACAAACACAUGGAGCUGUUUUGUCUAUGGGACAGUAUUUAUUUGCAUUAUGUCUGUAAAUAGAUCGAUAUCGAAUCGAAUCGGAUCGAAUCGUGGAUCGAAUCGGAUCGUGACCUUAUGAAUCGGAAUCGGAUCGAUCCAGGAAAUUCGGAUCGAUUCCCAGCCCUAGUCAUUGUCGAGGAACGACUCUGAGCUGAGGUUCACAUGCAGGUUUCAGUUGGGGAAAAAAAAUCUGUUGCCCAAAAGGCAUGGGUCUACAGAGACCACACCAAAGAGCUUGUAACGGAAGGGUUAGCUCGCUCUCUCUCUCUCUCU